Molecule: long non-coding RNA, 260 nt
Filed under: Elaeis guineensis (African oil palm)
Lineage: Eukaryota; Viridiplantae; Streptophyta; Magnoliopsida; Arecales; Arecaceae
Description: long non-coding RNA (EGUI_LNC055883)
Source: RNAcentral
GGGCCUUGAGACUCUUGGCUAACAUCCAAGCUGCGUCCGCAUCCAUAUCUACAACGAAAGAAGAUCGGCACAGCUUAGAAACAGAGCCACGAAAAAAGGGAGAGUUCUGGAACUAACCUAGGCUGGUUUGCAGGAUGCAGAGAUGCAGAGAUGGGGAUGACUCGAAGAACGCCUCAGGUCGAGAAGGAUGCUGGGGAAGAACGGAACUCUCAGGAAGAAGCAGGGAUCGAUGAAACUCCCAAGCAAAGUGAGACCCCUGA